Molecule: ribosomal RNA, 113 nt
Filed under: Cyanothamnus tenuis
Lineage: Eukaryota; Viridiplantae; Streptophyta; Magnoliopsida; Sapindales; Rutaceae
Description: partial 26S ribosomal RNA
Rfam family: Eukaryotic large subunit ribosomal RNA
Source: RNAcentral
GCGACCCCAGGUCAGGCGGGAUCACCCGCUGAGUUUAAGCAUAUCAAUAAGCGGAGGAAAAGAAACUUACCAGGAUUCCCCUAGUAGCGGCGAGCGAACUGGGAAUAGCCCAG